GAUCAUGGCUCAGGAUGAACGCUAGCGGCAGGCUUAACACAUGCAAGUCGAGGGGCAGCACGAGGUAGCAAUACUUUGGUGGCGACCGGCGCACGGGUGCGUAACGCGUAUGCAACCUACCUUUAACAGGGAUAUAACACUGAGAAAUUGGUACUAAUUCCCCAUAACAUUCGAGAAGGCAUCUUCUUGGGUUAAAAACUCCGGUGGUUAAAGAUGGGCACGCGUUGUAUUAGCUAGUUGGUGAGGUAACGG
Molecule: ribosomal RNA, 252 nt
Filed under: uncultured bacterium
Lineage: Bacteria
Description: partial 16S ribosomal RNA
Rfam family: Bacterial small subunit ribosomal RNA
Source: RNAcentral